RNAcentral lists this transfer RNA (75 nucleotides) under Alphaproteobacteria bacterium. Its description in RNAcentral is "tRNA-Lys". It matches the Rfam family "tRNA". Rfam says of the family: Transfer RNA (tRNA) molecules are approximately 80 nucleotides in length. Their secondary structure includes four short double-helical elements and three loops (D, anti-codon, and T loops). Further hydrogen bonds mediate the characteristic L-shaped molecular structure. tRNAs have two regions of fundamental functional importance: the anti-codon, which is responsible for specific mRNA codon recognition, and the 3' end, to which the tRNAs corresponding amino acid is attached (by aminoacyl-tRNA synthetases). tRNAs cope with the degeneracy of the genetic code in two manners: having more than one tRNA (with a specific anti-codon) for a particular amino acid; and 'wobble' base-pairing, i.e. permitting non-standard base-pairing at the 3rd anti-codon position. Lineage: Bacteria; Pseudomonadati; Pseudomonadota; Alphaproteobacteria. The record is from RNAcentral.
GGGGGCAUAGCUCAGUGGUAGAGCAACUGACUCUUAAUCAGCAGGUCGAGGGUUCGAAUCCCCCUGCCCCCACCA